GUGUGUGUGUGUGUGUGUGUGUGUGUGUAUGUCUAUAUAUAUAUGUAUAUAUAUAUAUGUAUAUAUGUACAUAUAUAUAUAUAUUGGUAUUCAUGUCUAAGAAUCUUUGCCUCUAUAGAUGACAAAUUCGGUCACAAUGCCUACUAGUCCAUGCCUAGCACAUCCAAUCAAUCGAUAUAAUUGCAACUCAACCUCUCUCAACCAUAAGUGCAAGAAAUAACAAAUACUUGUUAGAUUUGUAUUUAAAGCUAUAAGAUCCUAAUUAUUCUUAAAUCUAAUUCCUAUAUCUAACUUAGUUCAAGACUAGAUAAAUAUGAAAUUUAGGUUAUACCACGAUUUAAGAGCUAUAAUGUAGAAUCCCUUGGUAUGCUUCUUCUUGAUAAGAUGAGUGUACUUAUCCACAAAUCAAAAUUGAACAUAGAAGAGAUUUGUAUAUAAACAACACUAAUUGUGACAACACUUAGGGCCUGAAUUAGUUAGAACGAUGCAACCCAAUUCAUAAUGUUAAGAAACAGAUAACCCAUCUAAGUAAAGAUAGUAG
RNAcentral lists this long non-coding RNA (541 nucleotides) under Elaeis guineensis (African oil palm). RNAcentral's name for it is "long non-coding RNA (EGUI_LNC075813)". The record is from RNAcentral. Lineage: Eukaryota; Viridiplantae; Streptophyta; Magnoliopsida; Arecales; Arecaceae.